This 109-nucleotide ribosomal RNA is filed under the name Neotoma lepida (desert woodrat). Lineage: Eukaryota; Metazoa; Chordata; Mammalia; Rodentia; Cricetidae. The record is from RNAcentral.
UUAAAUAUGUAUACCACCCUGAACGCACCCAACCUCGGAAGCUAAGCAGGAUUGGGCCUGGUUAGUACUUGGAUGGGAAACCACCUGAGAAUACUGGGUGCUGUAGGCU